UUAGGAAUAUUCGUCAAUGGGGGAAACCCUGAACGAGCAAUGCCGCGUGAACGAUGAAGGCCCUAUGGGUUGUAAAGUUCUGUUGCAUGGGACGAACGAUUAGGAUAGGAAAUGAUCUUAAUGUGACGGUACCAUGCCAGAAAGCUCCGGCUAACUACGUGCCAGCAGCCGCGGUAAUACGUAGGGAGCAAGCGUUAUCCGGAUUUAUUGGGCGUAAAGGGUGCGUAGGCGGCUUGUUAAGUAUGAGAUUAAAGCCCGAGGCUUAACCUCGGUUCGUUUCAUAAACUGGCAGGCUUGAGUGUGGCAGAGGUAAACGGAAUUUCUAGUGUAGCGGUUAAAUGCGUAGAUAUUAGAAGGAACACCAGUGGCGAAGGCGGUUUACUGGGCCAUAACUGACGCUGAGGCACGAAAGCGUGGGGAGCAAAUAGG
Molecule: ribosomal RNA, 429 nt
Filed under: uncultured bacterium
Lineage: Bacteria
Description: bacterial SSU rRNA
Rfam family: Bacterial small subunit ribosomal RNA
Source: RNAcentral